GCCGCGGUGGUGAAAUUGGUAGACACACAAGACUUAAAAUCUUGCGACCUAACAGUCGUGCCGGUUCGAUUCCGGCUCGCGGCACCA
RNAcentral lists this transfer RNA (87 nucleotides) under Pseudomonadales bacterium. RNAcentral describes it as "tRNA-Leu". It matches the Rfam family "tRNA". Rfam says of the family: Transfer RNA (tRNA) molecules are approximately 80 nucleotides in length. Their secondary structure includes four short double-helical elements and three loops (D, anti-codon, and T loops). Lineage: Bacteria; Pseudomonadati; Pseudomonadota; Gammaproteobacteria; Pseudomonadales. The record is from RNAcentral. RNAcentral also lists the same sequence under 1 other name.